RNAcentral lists this ribosomal RNA (2365 nucleotides) under Kendrickiella phycomyces. RNAcentral describes it as "SSU rRNA". It matches the Rfam family "Eukaryotic small subunit ribosomal RNA". The record is from RNAcentral. Lineage: Eukaryota; Fungi; Ascomycota.
GUAGUCAUAUGCUUGUCUCAAAGAUUAAGCCAUGCAUGUCUAAGUAUAAGCAAUCAUACUGUGAAACUGCGAAUGGCUCAUUAUAUCAGUUAUCGUUUAUUUGAUAGUACCUUACUACUUGGAUAACCGUGGUAAUUCUAGAGCUAAUACAUGCUACAAACCCCGACUUCGGAAGGGGUGUAUUUAUUAGAUAAAAAACCAAUGCCCUUUGGGCUCUGUGGUGAUUCAUAAUAACUUUUCGAAUCGCAUGGCCUUGCGCCGGCGAUGGUUCAUUCAAAUUUCUGCCCUAUCAACUUUCGAUGGUAGGAUAGUGGCCUACCAUGGUUUCCACGGGUAACGGGGAAUUAGGGUUCUAUUCCGGAGAGGGAGCCUGAGAAACGGCUACCACAUCCAAGGAAGGCAGCAGGCGCGCAAAUUACCCAAUCCCGAUUCGGGGAGGUAGUGACAAUAAAUACUGAUGCAGGGCUCUUUUGGGUCUUGCAAUUGGAAUGAGUACAAUCUAAAUCCCUUAACGAGGAACAAUUGGAGGGCAAGUCUGGUGCCAGCAGCCGCGGUAAUUCCAGCUCCAAUAGCGUAUAUUAAAGUUGUUGCAGUUAAAAAGCUCGUAGUUGAACCUUGGGCCUGGCUGGUCGGUCCGCCUCACCGCGUGCACUGAUCCGGCCGGGCCUUUCCUCCUGGGGAGCCGCAUGCCCUUCACUGGGUGUGUCGGGGAACCAGGACUUUUACUUUGAAAAAAUUAGAGUGUUCAAAGCAGGCCUUCGCUCGAAUACAUUAGCAUGGAAUAAUAGAAUAGGACGCGCGGUUCUAUUUUGUUGGUUUCUAGGACCGCCGUAAUGAUUAAUAGGGAUAGUCGGGGGCAUCAGUAUUCAAUUGUCAGAGGUGAAAUUCUUGGAUUUAUUGAAGACUAACUACUGCGAAAGCAUUUGCCAAGGAUGUUUUCAUUAAUCAGUGAACGAAAGUUAGGGGAUCGAAGACGAUCAGAUACCGUCGUAGUCUUAACCAUAAACUAUGCCGACUAGGGAUCGGGCGAUGUUAUCUUUUGACUCGCUCGGCACCUUACGAGAAAUCAAAGUCUUUGGGUUCUGGGGGGAGUACGUCAGCAAUGAUGAAACUUAAAGAAAUUGACGGAAGGGCACCACCAGGAGUAAACGCGCGCAGCACUCUGCUCCAGAAAGCCACUCGAAAGAGUUGUGGUGCCUGUGGCUAGUGGUCUCGGACCGCGACACCCUCAAAUUGCGGGAAACCCCUUAAGCUUCUGCUACCGCAGCGGCGCCGAAAGGCGUCGUGCGCACCAGGGUAAUGACCUCGGGGAUGGUAACAACGCAGAAGAUUGGGCAAUCCGCAGCCAAGCUCCCUCGCGGAGAAGGUUCAGAGACUUGAUGGGGGUGGGUUGUCGAACGACGGCUUAAGAUAAAGUCCGGCUCCACGCGAAAGCGUGGAGGUUUGUGGGAGCCUGCGGCUUAAUUUGACUCAACACGGGGAAACUCACCAGGUCCAGACAUGAAAAGGAUUGACAGAUUGAGAGCUCUUUCUUGAUCUCAUGGGUGGUGGUGCAUGGCCGUUCUUAGUUGGUGGAGUGAUUUGUCUGCUUAAUUGCGAUAACGAACGAGACCUUAACCUGCUAAAUAGCCCGGUUCGCUUUGGCGGAUCGCUGGCUUCUUAGAGGGACUAUCGGCUCAAGCCGAUGGAAGUUUGAGGCAAUAACAGGUUAACUCACAGGCCUGUAAAAGUGGGAAUACUGCUAGUCCAGCGUCACCUCUGUGGGGAAGUCCCCGAGCCGGGCAGAGGCGUCUUUUGACGAACGCGGGCGACACCACCUGGUACAGGGAACGCCGUCAGGCCGAUCCUGUGGCGAGCUUGGUCACGACAAGCCGUCGCAACGUGCGGAAAGGGGUGGGCUCUCCGGAGCUUGAGGUACGUACUAAUCCCUGGGGCAACCCAGCUCUCGCGAUGAGGCCCGGCGGCCGAGGCGCGAGGGGGACGACGUGUCGUCUGGUUCACAUGCUGUGAUGCCCUUAGAUGUUCUGGGCCGCACGCGCGCUACACUGACAGAGCCAACGAGUGUCUUCCUUGUCCGAAAGGUCUGGGUAAUCUUGUUAAACUCUGUCGUGCUGGGGAUAGAGCAUUGCAAUUAUUGCUCUUCAACGAGGAAUUCCUAGUAAGCGCAAGUCAUCAGCUUGCGUUGAUUAUGUCCCUGCCCUUUGUACACACCGCCCGUCGCUACUACCGAUUGAAUGGCUCAGUGAGGCCUUCGGACUGGCUCCAGGAGGUCGGCAACGACCACCCAGAGCCGGAAAGUUGGUCAAACUUGGUCAUUUAGAGGAAGUAAAAGUCGUAACAAGGUCUCCGUAGGUGAACCUGCGGA